GACGUAGGGAGCGAGCGUUGUCCGGAUUCAUUGGGCGUAAAGGGUCCGUAGGCGGCUCAGCAAGUCGGGUGUGAAAUCUCCAGGCUCAACCUGGAGGGGCCACUCGAUACUGCUGUGGCUUGAGUCCAGUAGGGGAGCAUGGAAUUCCCGGUGUAGCGGUGAAAUGCGUAGAUAUCUGGAGGAACACCGGUGGCGAAGGCGGCAUCCUGGACCGGUAUUGACGCUGAGGCGCGAAAGCCAGGGGAGCAAACGGG
Molecule: ribosomal RNA, 254 nt
Filed under: uncultured bacterium
Lineage: Bacteria
Description: partial 16S ribosomal RNA
Rfam family: Bacterial small subunit ribosomal RNA
Source: RNAcentral